RNAcentral lists this ribosomal RNA (1056 nucleotides) under Klebsiella pneumoniae. Its description in RNAcentral is "bacterial SSU rRNA". The record is from RNAcentral. Lineage: Bacteria; Pseudomonadati; Pseudomonadota; Gammaproteobacteria; Enterobacterales; Enterobacteriaceae.
AGCGGUAGCACAGAGAGCUUGCUCCUCGGGUGACGAGCGGCGGACGGGUGAGUAAUGUCUGGGAAACUGCCUGAUGGAGGGGGAUAACUACUGGAAACGGUAGCUAAUACCGCAUAAYGUCGCAAGACCAAAGUGGGGGACCUUCGGGCCUCAUGCCAUCAGAUGUGCCCAGAUGGGAUUAGCUAGUAGGUGGGGUAACGGCUCACCUAGGCGACGAUCCCUAGCUGGUCUGAGAGGAUGACCAGCCACACUGGAACUGAGACACGGUCCAGACUCCUACGGGAGGCAGCAGUGGGGAAUAUUGCACAAUGGGCGCAAGCCUGAUGCAGCCAUGCCGCGUGUGUGAAGAAGGCCUUCGGGUUGUAAAGCACUUUCAGCGGGGAGGAAGGCGUUAAGGUUAAUAACCUUGGCGAUUGACGUUACCCGCAGAAGAAGCACCGGCUAACUCCGUGCCAGCAGCCGCGGUAAUACGGAGGGUGCAAGCGUUAAUCGGAAUUACUGGGCGUAAAGCGCACGCAGGCGGUCUGUCAAGUCGGAUGUGAAAUCCCCGGGCUCAACCUGGGAACUGCAUUCGAAACUGGCAGGCUAGAGUCUUGUAGAGGGGGGUAGAAUUCCAGGUGUAGCGGUGAAAUGCGUAGAGAUCUGGAGGAAUACCGGUGGCGAAGGCGGCCCCCUGGACAAAGACUGACGCUCAGGUGCGAAAGCGUGGGGAGCAAACAGGAUUAGAUACCCUGGUAGUCCACGCCGUAAACGAUGUCGAUUUGGAGGUUGUGCCCUUGAGGCGUGGCUUCCGGAGCUAACGCGUUAAAUCGACCGCCUGGGGAGUACGGCCGCAAGGUUAAAACUCAAAUGAAUUGACGGGGGCCCGCACAAGCGGUGGAGCAUGUGGUUUAAUUCGAUGCAACGCGAAGAACCUUACCUGGUCUUGACAUCCACAGAACUUUCCAGAGAUGGAUUGGUGCCUUCGGGAACUGUGAGACAGGUGCUGCAUGGCUGUCGUCAGCUCGUGUUGUGAAAUGUUGGGUUAAGUCCCGCAACGAGCGCAACCCUUAUCCU